GGGGAAUUUUGGACAAUGGGGGAAACCCUGAUCCAGCCAUGCCGCGUGCAGGAUGAAGGCCUUCGGGUUGUAAACUGCUUUUGUACGGAACGAAAAGGUCUUUUCUAAUAAAGAAGGCUCAUGACGGUACCGUAAGAAUAAGCACCGGCUAACUACGUGCCAGCAGCCGCGGUAAUACGUAGGGUGCAAGCGUUAAUCGGAAUUACUGGGCGUAAAGCGUGCGCAGGCGGUUAUAUAAGACAGAUGUGAAAUCCCCGGGCUCAACCUGGGAACUGCAUUAGUGACUGUAUAGCUAGAGUGCGGCAGAGGGGGAUGGAAUUCCGCGUGUAGCAGUGAAAUGCGUAGAUAUGCGGAGGAACACCGAUGGCGAAGGCAAUCCCCUGGGCCUGCACUGACGCUCAUGCACGAAAGCGUGGGGAGCAAACA
Molecule: ribosomal RNA, 426 nt
Filed under: uncultured Simplicispira sp.
Lineage: Bacteria; Pseudomonadati; Pseudomonadota; Betaproteobacteria; Burkholderiales; Comamonadaceae
Description: bacterial SSU rRNA
Rfam family: Bacterial small subunit ribosomal RNA
Source: RNAcentral